RNAcentral lists this ribosomal RNA (1884 nucleotides) under alpha proteobacterium R2A57. RNAcentral's name for it is "bacterial LSU rRNA". It matches the Rfam family "Bacterial large subunit ribosomal RNA", at positions 1 to 1958 of the family's 2925-position model. The record is from RNAcentral. Lineage: Bacteria; Pseudomonadati; Pseudomonadota; Alphaproteobacteria; Rhodobacterales; Paracoccaceae.
GGAUCAAAUCAAGCGCGAAAAGGGCGUUUGGUGAAUGCCUUGGCAGUAAGAGGCGAUGAAAGACGUGAUACUCUGCGAUAAGUCAUGGGGAGCUGAGAAUAAGCUUUGAUCCAUGAAUUUCUGAAUGGGGGAACCCACCUGACAGUUCUCUAUUGAUAGCUUACGCUAUCACUAGGGAGUUGAACCAGGUACUUUUAGACUGAAUACAUAGGUUUAAAAGAGCAAACCCGGGGAACUGAAACAUCUAAGUACCCGGAGGAAAGGAAAUCAAUAGAUACUCCCCUAGUAGCGGCGAGCGAACGGGGACCAGCCGAGCUGUGAGUGUGAUUAGAAUGGUCUGGAAUGGCCAACCAUAGUGGGUGACAGUCCCGUAUAAGAAGCAUGAUCAGACGUAUUAAGUAGGGCGGAACACGUGAAAUUCUGUCUGAACAUCGGAGGACCACCUUCGAAGGCUAAGUACUCCUUACUGACCGAUAGUGAACCAGUACCGUGAGGGAAAGGUGAAAAGCACCCCGACGAGGGGAGUGAAACAGUACCUGAAACCGAACGCCUACAAUCAGUUGGAGGGCCCUUGCGGCCUGACAGCGUACCUUUUGUAUAAUGGGUCAUCGACUUGGUCUAUCUAGCAAGCUUAAGCCGCUAGGUGUAGGCGCAGCGAAAGCGAGUCUUAAUAGGGCGAAUGAGUUAGGUGGAUCAGACCCGAAACCGAGUGAUCUAGGCAUGACCAGGAUGAAGGUUAGGUAACACUAACUGGAGGUCCGAACCCACAUCUGUUGAAAAAGAUCGGGAUGAGUUGUGCCUAGGGGUGAAAGGCCAAUCAAACUCGGAGAUAGCUGGUUCUCUGCGAAAUCUAUUUAGGUAGAGCGUCAUCCGAAUACCCCGGGGGGUAGAGCACUGGAUGGGUAAUGGGGCCUUACCGGCUUACUGAUCCUAACCAAACUCCGAAUACCCGGGAGUACUAGAUGGCAGACACACUGCGGAUGCUAACGUCCGUAGUGGAGAGGGAAACAACCCUGACCUACGACUAAGGCCCCUAAUUCAUGGCUAAGUGGGAAAGCAGGUGGGACGACCAAAACAACCAGGAGGUUGGCUUAGAAGCAGCCAUCCUUUAAAGAUAGCGUAACAGCUCACUGGUCUAAUUAAGUUGUCCUGCGGCGAAGAUGUAACGGGGCUCAAGCCAUGAGCCGAAGUCUAGGAUGCAUUUAUUGCAUGGUAGCAGAGCGUAGUGUGACAUAGUACCUUUCCUCUUUAGCACUCUUCGGAAUGCCUUGGAGGAUAUGGUGCUUUCUGUGAAGCUGGCGCGUGAGCGAUCCGGUGGAGAGAUCACUAGUGAGAAUGAUGACAUGAGUAGCGACAAAGAGUGUGAGAGACACUCUCGCCGAAAGUCCAAGGGUUCCUGCUUAAAGCUAAUCUGAGCAGGGUAAGCCGACCCCUAAGGCGAGGCCGAAAGGCGUAGUCGAUGGGAACCAGGUUAAUAUUCCUGGGCCAGAUGGAAGUGACGGAUCUCGAGGGUAGUUCAUCCUUAUUGGAUUGAAUGGGCUGCUUAGAGGUUCCUGGAAAUAGCUCCAUCGCUAGAUCGUACCCUAAACCGACACAGGUGGACUGGUAGAGAAUACCAAGGCGCUUGAGAGAACUAUGUUGAAGGAACUCGGCAAAAUACCUCCGUAAGUUCGCGAGAAGGAGGCCCAGUUUCUACGCAAGUAUUGACUGGGGGCACAAACCAGGGGGUGGCGACUGUUUACUAAAAACACAGGGCUCUGCGAAGUCGCAAGACGACGUAUAGGGUCUGACGCCUGCCCGGUGCCUGAAGGUUAAAAGGAGGGGUGAGAGCUCCGAAUUGAAGCCCAGGUAAACGGCGGCCGUAACUAUAACGGUCCUAAGGUA